Long non-coding RNA from Vespa mandarinia (Asian giant hornet), 360 nucleotides. The record is from RefSeq and is a predicted model, not a curated record. Lineage: Eukaryota; Metazoa; Arthropoda; Insecta; Hymenoptera; Vespidae.
AAAGAGUAAUAAAGGCAAUAGUAAACGAAGGUUUCAGACUAAAAUUUUAAAAAUGUACAUUUGCAACAGGAUCAGUGAAAUAUCUCGGACACAUAAUAGAGCACAAUACAGUAAGACCAGUAAAAGAUAAUCUAAUCUCAAUACAAAAUUUUCCCACUCCAAAAACCCAAAAGAAUAUUUGACAGUUUCUCAAAAAAAUAAACUUCUAUCAUGAAUAUAUACCGAAAAGCUCAAUACUGCUAGACCCAUUACAUAAACUGUUAAGAAAAAAUGAAAAGUUUAUAUGGUCUGAAGAGUGUGAAAAACCUUUCACAAAUAUAAAAAAAUUAUUAUGUUCUCAACCAGUGUUGUAAAUAUCGG